GGAGAGACCAGAGGGAAGCCGACCUGUAAUUUUGCCCGAGAGCAAUUAUGAAUAUGGCCAGCCCAUCUGUAACCAAGAUGUGUGUCCAGGGCCGUAGACACAACCAGCUUCAGAAACAAAGGGGGAAAAGGAGUAAAAAUACAGCUUUAUUGUUGUGCUCAGCUGAGAAGAAUGGUGGAGACACGGGUGCAAAUGUGAGACAGAAACUGAGAAGGUGUUGGGAAAGGCCCUUCAGAAUUCAUUCAGAAUUCAUUGCUUUUACUGUGCCAGGUGAAACUUCUGGAGUCCAGAAUUGAAGCUGCAGGAUUUUCAAAAGCCACCUCCAUUACCCACAUUCUUCACUUUCCAAAGCUUUGAGAUUGACAGUUAUUCAUGAGUUAGUAAAAAGUAUUGAGUCCCCUGGUAUUGCCAUCUCAUCUGAUCCCUGAAGAGGGAUGACAACGUCAUGUUUUCAGGAGCCUGCGGGAAACCAGUCCAUGGGAUUGUCUCAGGGGAAGGAGGUUGAUGGAAAUGCCUGGAAGGGGAGGAGCAAGAGGCAGCUGGGGAGGAAUGGAGUUGUUUGGUGGCCCCCUUCCUGGCAGCACCCAAAGAGCUUGCUAGAAGGUACACCUGGGACAGCCUCCCUGCCGCCCCCUGGCUCCUAAAGAUCCUGAUAUCCUGUUUGGCACCAGUGCUGGCCCAAGAGCAAGGAGAGUGUGUUACAGAGUGGUUUUGGAGUCUGGGUGAUGUUAGGAGAUGAGCGAGGUGCAAAUCCCUCUUGCCUAUGGGACUGACGUCCUUUCCUUUCUACGACAGCACCAUCUGCCACCAAGAUGUGUAUCCUGGGCUACUGCUGGCAGAAGAGCACCUUUGCGCAAGUGGACCAAGUCAUGCACAGAGGCUCAUAAUGGCCUCUUCCACAGCACAGGAGCAGUCCCUACCCAGACCCCCCAAAGCGGCACAGGAGGAGUUAAAGGCCUGAGCAGAGGAGCAGCCAGGUAUAUCCCUUUUUCCAGGAAGUCCUGCGAGUAAGACUGCCUCUCUCGGCACCUUGAUGCCACCCGCUGGUACGGCUCUCCAGGAAGGACAAAUACGUGCACAUGGGGGGGGGGCGUAAUUUCAGGAGGACCUACAGCAAUGAUAGAGGCAACGGUGUCUCCUUCUCCACACUUGUAAAGGCCCUGCUCAGAGCAGCUGAGCCUGCGGACAGAGACCCACCCAGGGCCUGACAGCAAUGCCUGUGGUAGAGGGGUGAAGGAGGAAGCAGCCCUACAGCCCUCCGAGAGUAAAAUGUCAGGGGAAUGAGGUAGGCUCCAGCCACAUCAGCUGAAGGAGAAGGUCAGUAGUAUGUGUGAGCCGGG
This 1340-nucleotide long non-coding RNA is filed under the name Chinchilla lanigera (long-tailed chinchilla). RNAcentral's name for it is "lncRNA (ENSCLAG00000027127.1)". The record is from RNAcentral. Lineage: Eukaryota; Metazoa; Chordata; Mammalia; Rodentia; Chinchillidae.